This 465-nucleotide ribosomal RNA is filed under the name uncultured Pseudomonadota bacterium. RNAcentral's name for it is "bacterial SSU rRNA". It matches the Rfam family "Bacterial small subunit ribosomal RNA", at positions 198 to 644 of the family's 1533-position model. The record is from RNAcentral. Lineage: Bacteria; Pseudomonadati; Pseudomonadota.
GGAGGAAAGUAGGGGAUCGCAAGACCUUGCGUUAUGAGAGCGGCCUAUGUCCGAUUAGCUAGUUGGUGGGGUAAAGGCCUACCAAGGCGACGAUCGGUAGCUGGUCUGAGAGGAUGAUCAGCCACACUGGGACUGAGACACGGCCCAGACUCCUACGGGAGGCAGCAGUGGGGAAUUUUGGACAAUGGGGGAAACCCUGAUCCAGCCAUUCCGCGUGAGUGAAGAAGGCCUUCGGGUUGUAAAGCUCUUUCAUGAGGGAAGAAACGGGCCUGGUUAAUACCCAGGUCAACUGACGGUACCUUAAGAAGAAGCACCGGCUAACUACGUGCCAGCAGCCGCGGUAAUACGUAGGGUGCAAGCGUUAACCGGAAUUACUGGGCGUAAAGCGUGCGCAGGCGGUUUUGUAAGUCAGAUGUGAAAGCCCCGGGCUUAACCUGGGAACUGCGUUUGAAACUACAAGGCUAG